AGAGUUUGAUCAUGGCUCAGGACGAACGCUGGCGGCGUGCUUAACACAUGCAAGUCGAGCGGAAAGGCCCUUCGGGGUACUCGAGCGGCGAACGGGUGAGUAACACGUGAGUAACCUGCCCUAGGCUUUGGGAUAACCCUCGGAAACGGGGGCUAAUACCGGAUAUGACCUUGCCCUGCAUGGGGUUUGGUGGAAAGUUUUUCGGCCUGGGAUGGGCUCGCGGCCUAUCAGCUUGUUGGUGGGGUGAUGGCCUACCAAGGCGACGACGGGUAGCCGGCCUGAGAGGGCGACCGGCCACACUGGGACUGAGACACGGCCCAGACUCCUACGGGAGGCAGCAGUGGGGAAUAUUGCACAAUGGGCGGAAGCCUGAUGCAGCGACGCCGCGUGAGGGAUGACGGCCUUCGGGUUGUAAACCUCUUUCAGCAGGGACGAAGCGCAAGUGACGGUACCCGCAGAAGAAGCACCGGCCAACUACGUGCCAGCAGCCGCGGUAAGACGUAGGGUGCGAGCGUUGUCCGGAUUUAUUGGGCGUAAAGAGCUCGUAGGCGGCUUGUCGCGUCGACCGUGAAAACUUGGGGCUCAACCCCAAGCCUGCGGUCGAUACGGGCAGGCUAGAGUUCGGUAGGGGAGACUGGAAUUCCUGGUGUAGCGGUGAAAUGCGCAGAUAUCAGGAGGAACACCGGUGGCGAAGGCGGGUCUCUGGGCCAAUACUGACGCUGAGGAGCGAAAGCGUGGGGAGCGAACAGGAUUAGAUACCCUGGUAGUCCACGCUGUAAACGUUGGGCGCUAGGUGUGGGGGGCCUCUCCGGUUCCCUGUGCCGCAGCUAACGCAUUAAGCGCCCCGCCUGGGGAGUACGGCCGCAAGGCUAAACUCAAAUGAAUUGACGG
This 891-nucleotide ribosomal RNA is filed under the name uncultured bacterium. RNAcentral's name for it is "bacterial SSU rRNA". It matches the Rfam family "Bacterial small subunit ribosomal RNA", at positions 8 to 916 of the family's 1533-position model. The record is from RNAcentral.